AAGUCGUAACAAGGUCUCCGUAGGUGAACCUGCGGAGGGAUCAUUACACAAAUAUGAAGGCAGAUUGGGUAGUCCCCGCUUUGGGGGGUUUGCCCAUUCUGGCGCCAUAUUCACCCAUGUCUUUUGCGUACUACUUGUUUCCUUGGCGGGCUCGCCCGCCAAUUGGACUUUAUUCAAACCUUUUUUUAUUGCAAUCAGCGUCAGCAAAACAAUGUAAUCAAUUACAACUUUCAACAACGGAUCUCUUGGUUCUGGCAUCGAUGAAGAACGCAGCGAAAUGCGAUAAGUAGUGUGAAUUGCAGAAUUCAGUGAAUCAUCGAAUCUUUGAACGCACAUUGCGCCCUUUGGUAUUCCAAAGGGCAUGCCUGUUCGAGCGUCAUUUGUACCCUCAAGCUUUGCUUGGUGUUGGGCGUCUUUUGUCUCUCCCCCGAGACUCGCCUUAAAAACAUUGGCAGCCGGCCUACUGGUUUCGGAGCGCAGCACAUUAUUUGCGCUCUUGUCCAGCCGCGGUCGCGCGUCCAUGAAGCCUUUUUUUUCAACCUUUUGACCUCGGAUCAGGUAGGGAUACCCGCUGAACUUAA
This 581-nucleotide ribosomal RNA is filed under the name Pyrenophora graminea. Its description in RNAcentral is "eukaryotic LSU rRNA". The stretch from base 226 to 379 matches the Rfam family "5.8S ribosomal RNA". The record is from RNAcentral. Lineage: Eukaryota; Fungi; Ascomycota; Dothideomycetes; Pleosporales; Pleosporaceae.